Hemicordylus capensis (graceful crag lizard) is the source of this 1588-nucleotide long non-coding RNA. RefSeq lists it as uncharacterized. The record is from RefSeq and is a predicted model, not a curated record. Lineage: Eukaryota; Metazoa; Chordata; Lepidosauria; Squamata; Cordylidae. The transcript is spliced from 3 exons.
UGCGGCUUAAGUCUCACAGUGGUUUGGAUUUUUCUGCCAAGUGAGACAGGAAUUUCUCCAGGACUUAAGCAUGUUUCCAUGUUUAAGAUGGAUACAAAUGAAGGUCCAAAGAGAGGACAGAAGAUUGCCUGAGAAUUAGGAUGGGGCUCAGUUCUCACACAGAGAGUCAGACCAGGACCCAUGGGGGCAGAAGACUUCCUGAGAAUUAGGAUAGGGUGGAUGAAGAAGAGCCUGGAAUAUUAAAUCAAAAUCCAGUGAAUCUAGGAAUUGAUUACACUAUUUUGAAGAAGCAUUUUGAGCAGAGAUCAUCCACUUUUUGUUUGUAUAGGGUAGUAAUGUCUGAAAAGGACAUUACACCAUAUUUCCUCCGGCCCCAUUUGAUCAGAUGUCAAAACAAGUAGAUACACAAGACUAGAGAAAAAGAUCUAGAUCUAAAGAAAACCAGAUUAUCUUCAAUCUGAAGGAAAGGAAGAUGUGUCAGAAUAAGUUAAAAAAGGAGGCUGAUGAAAAUGAUGGUCAAUCCUCGGUACCAGAAAAACACAUCACUAGCAGCUCCUGUGACAGAGAACCCAAGAAUUAGGAGAAAAGUGUGUGACAGACCACCUAAAAGACAUAAAAGACUUUGUCACUGAAUUUUAAAUCAAUUCAAUUUGGGUUGUUAUAAGGGAAGGAAUGUGUGGUAUCCUAUCCACUAUCUUUUAUGUUUUGUUGUUUAGGAUUUUGUCCCAGUGGGGAUCCUGUAGAGGGGGAGGGGGGAAAGGGAAAGGGGGAAAAUUGAGUUGUUUAAGAAUAAUCUCUUCGUUAAAUCUAUAUAAGAUUACUUUGUGUUUGUGAGAGAAGCAGCUAUAAAACAGGUAUCUAUUAGCCUUGCUGCUCUCCAGAUUCCAGCACGCUGGCUCUUCACUAUUUUGGAGUGGCUAACGUUCUGAAAUGGUAUCAUCUCAAGAGGCUGUGCCAUGUACCGUUUCUGCCUGUGCAACUCAGCUCAUAGAGAGAAGUGACAGAAUUGAUAUGAUCUGACUUGUGAAAUCCUCGAGAGAUUCUGAAGAGACAAUGAAUGAGUGAACUGUUCCAUAUCUCUGCUCUCAUCUCUUUCCCAAUACAGAGCUCCUUUUUUGCUCUAUCACAACAGUGAAUAUGCACUUCAGGAUCAACAGCUACUAAAAGAAGAGGAGUCUGUAGUGUCAACUCACCUUUAUUCAGUUGACUCUUUUAUUGUGCAGAGUUCUUACUGAAGUUAAGCUGAUGAGAUAUUAAAUAAAAUUAAAAAGCUAUGAGUAGAAUGGGUAGUACAAGGCCUAAUAAUGAGGAGAACGUUACUGAGUGAUUUUCUCCCAGCUUUGUACUCGGAAAGGGCUGCAUACAGACCGUGGUAACUUGAUCUGUAUAAUAAAUGGUCAUCUGCCUUCUCUGAUUGUGCAUCCAAUGAAAUUACAAUAAUACUAAGAGCAGAAAGACACCAUUCUAGAAAACUGUUUGCAAUACAACACAUUGUUGGGAUUGCUCCAUUACUAAAUCAUUGAGAUUUCUGAGACACUGAUAAUGCUGUGGUUAAAACUUAAAACAUUAAUUCCACUUUACUUGUGAC